UUAUUUCUUAUCCGUCUGUAGCAACAGAGUCGGAGAGUUUCUUGGAAUAUGCUGGGCUUAGUCCUUGUUUGACUUGCUCUAUAAAACCUAACAAAUAAACCCCAUUUCUUUGUGCAUAAGCAAAAACUCAAAACUCUCUUCAACAAGAAAUUUCAAUUAUGAGUUACUACAAUCAGCAGCAACCCCCUGUUGGUGUACCACCACCACAAGGUUAUCCACCAGAAGGUUACUCUAAAGAUGCAUACCCACCACCAGGGUAUCCUCAGCAAGGGUAUCCACCACAGGGUUAUCCUCAACAAGGGUAUCCACCUCCACAGUAUGCACCUCAGUAUGGUGCUCCACCUCCUCAACAACAUCAACAGCAAUCUAGUAGCACUGGAUUAAUGCAAGGAUGUUUGGCUGCUCUGUGCUGUUGCUGUCUCUUGGAUGCAUGCUUUUGAGGGUGUAAAUGAUCUGUGCCAUGUGUUGAUGGCAAAAGUUUAUUGAAUCAAUUAUAUCAUAGUCUAGACUUUUUUCUUUCUGUGUUUUGUCCUAUACUUACUUUGAUAAAUAAUUUGAUCUUUGAUGUGCUCAAGAUUCCAAAGUGUUUGUUUUGCCAAAUUAUAGGUGGUUGGUUAUGUACAAUGUGACAGAUUCUAUUUUUAUUUUUUUCAAUGUUUUGGACCUCAAAAUAUUAUAUGUGAAUCAAUGCACCUUGCUCUGGUUACAAAUU
Molecule: long non-coding RNA, 712 nt
Organism: Solanum lycopersicum (tomato)
Lineage: Eukaryota; Viridiplantae; Streptophyta; Magnoliopsida; Solanales; Solanaceae
Product: cysteine-rich and transmembrane domain-containing protein WIH2
Source: RefSeq, a predicted model, not a curated record